AACCUCCACUGAAUCCCUCUCCUCCUCAUUUUACUCUCCUCCUCCUCCGCCGCCUCCUCCUGCUCUGCGAUCCUCUCCUCUUCUCUCUGUGCUGGUGUCUGUUCCCUCCAUAUUUGGGCUGCUGCUGGUUCUACUGGUUGUACUGGUGAAAAGACGGGUCCGGAAGAAACCUGAAGACAGAGAUCCUGCAGCAGCUGCCACCUCCUCAUCAGUGAGAAGAACAUCAGCAGACAGCCAACACAGAUCAAUCAGGAGAAGAGAUGUUUCAUUAGAGACAACAGUCAUCUACUCCUCACUGAAGCUGACUGACACACCUUCACCACAGCUCAGAUUCAAAAGUAACAUUUUUUCCUCACCUGAAGAAGAAUAAGAAGAAGAAGACGUCUCUCAAACCAGCUGCAGUCACAGUCUUAAACAUAUUAAUAGGGAAUUGGCAAUGGCUGCACUGAACACAUACUUUAAGAAGAGGGAGAAAUAAAGGAGAACAUAAAGGAGUGGAGGAAGGUGCACACAGGUGGAGUACACCUUAUGCUGAGGGUAUAAUCUGAAAGAGAUGGCAAGAUGGUGUCAGGGAGAAGGUAGCUAGGCAACAUGAGAUGGUAGUGUGUGUGAUGACUUUGGACAACAACAGGAGGAAGUGAGUGAGAGCAAAGACGAGGAAUAAAUGGUGGAAGCUAAAGAAGUCAGUUUGAUGUAAAUUUGGUGUAAAAUCUUGUGAUAAAUAAAAAAAACAUACACAGGUUUUAAGGGAACC
Long non-coding RNA from Oreochromis aureus, 754 nucleotides. RefSeq lists it as uncharacterized. The record is from RefSeq and is a predicted model, not a curated record. NCBI's taxonomy places the organism in Eukaryota, Metazoa, Chordata, Actinopteri, Cichliformes, Cichlidae. The transcript has 3 exons.